This 348-nucleotide unclassified non-coding RNA is filed under the name soil metagenome. RNAcentral describes it as "partial contains 5.8S ribosomal RNA, internal transcribed spacer 2, and large subunit ribosomal RNA". The stretch from base 1 to 120 matches the Rfam family "5.8S ribosomal RNA", at positions 35 to 154 of the family's 154-position model. The record is from RNAcentral.
GAUGAAGAAUGCAGCAAAAUGCGAUAAGUAAUGUGAAUUGCAGAAUUCAGUGAAUCAUCGAAUCUUUGAACGCACAUUGCGCCCGCUGGUAUUCCGGCGGGCAUGCCUGUUCGAGCGUCAUUUCAACCCUCAAGCCCCCGGGUUUGGUGUUGGGGAUCGGCUCUGCCCUUCUGGGCGGUGCCGCCCCCGAAAUACAUUGGCGGUCUCGCUGCAGCCUCCAUUGCGUAGUAGCUAACACCUCGCAACUGGAACGCGGCGCGGCCAUGCCGUAAAACCCCAACUUCUGAAUGUUGACCUCGGAUCAGGUAGGAAUACCCGCUGAACUUAAGCAUAUCAAUAAGCGGAGGA